GACGAACCGUGCGAACGUUAUUCGGAAUCACUGGGCUUAAAGCGCGUGUAGGCGGGCCGGCACGUCCGAGGCUGAAAUCCCCCGGCUCAACCGGGGAAGGGGCCCGGAUACGACCGGCCUGGAGGGGGGUAGGGGGCGCCGGAACUUCCGGUGGAGCGGUGAAAUGCGUUGAGAUCGGAAGGAACGCCCGUGGCGAAAGAGGGCGCCUGGACCCCACCUGACGCUGAGACGCGAAAGCCAGGGGAGCGAACGGG
RNAcentral lists this ribosomal RNA (254 nucleotides) under uncultured bacterium. Its description in RNAcentral is "partial 16S ribosomal RNA". It matches the Rfam family "Bacterial small subunit ribosomal RNA", at positions 524 to 776 of the family's 1533-position model. The record is from RNAcentral.